GCAGAGCAUCCUACGGGAGGCAGCAGUGGGGAAUAUUGCACAAUGGGCGCAAGCCUGAUGCAGCCAUGCCGCGUGUAUGAAGAAGGCCUUCGGGUUGUAAAGUACUUUCAGCAGUGAGGAAGGUGGAUAUGUUAAUAGCAUAUUCAUUUGACGUUAGCUGCAGAAGAAGCACCGGCUAACUCCGUGCCAGCAGCCGCGGUAAUACGGAGGGUGCGAGCGUUAAUCGGAAUUACUGGGCGUAAAGCGCAUGCAGGUGGUUGUUAAGUCAGAUGUGAAAAGCCCGGGGCUCAACCUCGGAAUUGCAUUUGAAACUGGCAAACUAGAGUACUGUAGAGGGGGUAGAAUUUCAGGUGUAGCGGUGAAAUGCGUAGAGAUCUGAAGGAAUACCGGUGGCGAAGGCGGCCCCCUGGACAGAUACUGACACUCAGAUGCGAAAGCGUGGGGAGCAAACAGGAUUAGAUACCCUGGUAG
This 471-nucleotide ribosomal RNA is filed under the name uncultured bacterium. RNAcentral's name for it is "bacterial SSU rRNA". It matches the Rfam family "Bacterial small subunit ribosomal RNA", at positions 329 to 793 of the family's 1533-position model. The record is from RNAcentral.